This 311-nucleotide ribosomal RNA is filed under the name uncultured eukaryote. RNAcentral's name for it is "partial 18S ribosomal RNA". It matches the Rfam family "Eukaryotic small subunit ribosomal RNA", at positions 1470 to 1796 of the family's 1831-position model. The record is from RNAcentral.
CCCCUAGACGUUCUGGGCUGCACGCGCGCUACAAUAAUACGCACAGCGAGUAUCACCGAGCUCGAAAGGGCAAGGUAAACAAUAGAAAAGGUACUGUAAUGGUUAUAGAUCCUUGUAAUUAUUGAUCUUCAACGAGGAAUUCCUAGUAAGUAUGUGUCAUCAUCACGCACUGAUUACGUCCCUGCCCUUUGUACACACCGCCCGUCGCUCCUACCGAUUGGGUGAGCCGAUGAAACUCUCGGAUGUAGGCUAUUCAUAGCCCGCAGAAGAGAUUUGAAUCGUAGCACUUAGAGGAAGGAGAAGUCGUAACA